GUCUUCGUGGCUCAGUUGGUUAGAGCGUCAGUCUCAUAAUCUGAAGGUCGUGAGUUCGAGCCUCACCGAGGACA
Molecule: transfer RNA, 74 nt
Filed under: Pestalotiopsis fici W106-1
Lineage: Eukaryota; Fungi; Ascomycota; Sordariomycetes; Amphisphaeriales; Sporocadaceae
Description: tRNA-Met (CAT) (tRNA-Met-CAT-1 1 to 4)
Rfam family: tRNA
About the family: Transfer RNA (tRNA) molecules are approximately 80 nucleotides in length. Their secondary structure includes four short double-helical elements and three loops (D, anti-codon, and T loops). Further hydrogen bonds mediate the characteristic L-shaped molecular structure. tRNAs have two regions of fundamental functional importance: the anti-codon, which is responsible for specific mRNA codon recognition, and the 3' end, to which the tRNAs corresponding amino acid is attached (by aminoacyl-tRNA synthetases). tRNAs cope with the degeneracy of the genetic code in two manners: having more than one tRNA (with a specific anti-codon) for a particular amino acid; and 'wobble' base-pairing, i.e. permitting non-standard base-pairing at the 3rd anti-codon position.
Source: RNAcentral